Molecule: transfer RNA, 70 nt
Filed under: Caridina cumariae
Lineage: Eukaryota; Metazoa; Arthropoda; Malacostraca; Decapoda; Atyidae
Description: tRNA-Val
Source: RNAcentral
CGGGCUGUAGCUUAAGGGGAAGCAUCUCGGUUACGUUGAGAAGAUCACUGAGUGUAGUGUGGCNNGAGGA